GCCCAGGGCAAAGCUGAGUCUUUCUGUUCCUGUUCUACGUUCAAGAAGACUCUUCUGGCCUUGAGGCAGGUUAUUUUUGCUCGGUGGUUUAGCUUGGGCACAUUAGGGGGGAUGGCACAGCACAGCUUCUCCAGGCUCCCCCUCACUGCAGCUUGGAGACCCUCUGGGGACAGGUUUGUUCCCUUUUGCUGUGCUCCAUUUUAGAAAAUCCUCCACUAUUCACCCAAAGCAGCAUGAGCUCAGGUGGUUCUUGAUGCUGGGGCAAGCUGCUGGUCUACAGAUGAUCUUCUUUUAGCGACAAGUGGACAAGGACCAACAGCCCUGGAGUACUUUUCCUGCAGGAUCCUUUGCUGGCAAAUCAUCCCCCACAAGCACUUGCCUGCAACCAAGAAAUGCGUGGGGAUGCAGUGUCGGAGGAGGCCAGCACCACAUCCGACAGAGACAAGGUGGUGGAGUCAGUGCCAGGGUCAGAACAGUUGGAUUGAGGACCCUCCAACAUUCAAAGUAUGCUCCAGGGAGAGCCAGGGCUGGAAGCUGGAGGUUGGUAACCUCCAACAAAACAGAUGAUCCAGGAUUUUGAGCAGGUAUGUGGCAUCUGACUUUGAAAGUCAGAUCUCAAACUCUCCAUUGCUCUUAAGGCUUUUGUUUCAAACUAGGUGUUUUCUCCCAUGUGUUUUUUCCCUCCAGCAGCAUCUCCAGGUCAGCAGCUGUCAGUAGGUGAAACUCCAUGGCCCAUGAGACUCGGAGGAGGCUGGAUAAAGAAAAUUAUUUCUUCCAGGCUUAAAAUCCACUGCAGUAUUUUGCCUGGGUGCUGGGAGCCUCCAUUCCGCUCUACCUGUGCUCAUUGCAUUUUAUCUGCUGAAGCAGCAAUACUGCAGAGCCCACCAAGAAGAUGAGUCCUCGGGGAUGAUUUCUGGAGGAUCUGGAGAUGAAAAUGGUGUCUGCCAGCACAUCUUUGUUUUCCACCUCUUCUGCAGCUUCACUGAAGUUUGGCUGUGCCCUUACCUCAACCCCUCUGGUGGAGCAGAGCCUGCUGCAAGGUGGAGACAAGGUACAGAGACAAAAGUCUGCGCCAAGCUCUGGAGGGGCAGAAAUGGGGUGCAAGGAGACCCAUAGGGUGGCCACCAACCUCUACAAAUCGAGUGGUGCUGCAAGCCAGCAAGCCCUUCCCCACGAAGCACGGGCCAGCGGAGUGGAGGUGGCAAGAAAUACACCUUGCAAAAUUUCUGCUGGGUUACGGAGAACCAGCCGGGGAUUGGAGCAGGGAAGAGCCUACAAAAAACAUCAGAGCUCGUGCAGAAGUGAAGCCACUCCAGUGAUGUGUCCUGGGCUCUUGCCUUGGGGAUUCCAUCCUUUCCUCCAGAUUUCCCAUCCUUUACUUUUUUCCUGCUGUGGUUUGCCAGCCCCGGGCUCCAGGGUGCCAGGAUGCUGCGAGGGCUCCCGUUUUGGUCCAGGACAUACCCUUAGGCUCCUUCCCUCCCUAAAACAUUCUACUUGCAGAUGAGGAAUAGACAAGACCCAGGGCAAGACUAGAAGUCACUCGGUUGCCUGGGUUGGUGAAAGGGGAUGAGGAGCACAAAUGAACCCUCAUUAUAGCUGGAAUCAGGAGUUAAUGAGUGUGGUUUGGUGAGGUGCUCAAGAGCAGAACAAUUCUCUGCCCCAUCCUCCAGCCAUUAAAACUUUAAAUGGGGAAAACCUCAAGUCCCAGAUCUCCUGCUCUCCAUGGCCUCACUUAUCUUGGAUGUGCAGCUGGAACCUGAAAGCAAACCAAACCCUCCGGUGAUGAGGUGUGAACUCCAGGGUGAGGAUGUUCCUUUCCCUGGGGGCAGAGGGGGUGUGCUUCAUUUAAAAGGUAGAAGAAGUGCUGCUGAUGGGCACCAGUUUGUUUCUUUCAGCCCACUGUCCUUAACUCAGCAUCUUGCUGCUGGUGGAAGCCAUCCCCAUCCAUGACCCCGAGCUCAUCAGGGCCAUCUGGCCUGGCCCAUGGGUCACUUAAGGGAAUUAAUUCAUAGAAUCAUAGAAUGCUUUGGGUUGGAAGGGUUGGGGAUGGGGAAGGAGCCUGUAACAUCUGGUCAAGGAGUCUGAAUCAAAAAAUGAGGAUCUAUGAUUCUAUAAUCUCAUGUUUUCAUUGAUUUCAGCACACACAUCAUGUAUGAAGAGAUAUGAGUCUGACAGCAGGUCGGCUACAGAGAGCAAAAAGGACUUUAGGUAACACCGUGGUGACUGGCAACCCUCCCUUCACUGAGUAUCGAUGAGAAGAGGCUGCUGAUAUGACCCAUUUCUUUUCAAACAGAGGCUUCUGCAAAACCGCUGCCCACCCAACCCAGUCUGUAAGACCCAGCUGAAAUCUGAACCCUCGCAGAUCAUAAAACCAGAGAAUCAA
Molecule: long non-coding RNA, 2383 nt
Organism: Cuculus canorus (common cuckoo)
Lineage: Eukaryota; Metazoa; Chordata; Aves; Cuculiformes; Cuculidae
Exons: 4
Source: RefSeq, a predicted model, not a curated record